CCUACGGGAGGCUGCAGUGAGGAAUAUUGGUCAAUGGGCGAGAGCCUGAACCAGCCAAGUCGCGUGAGGGAGUACUGCCCUAUGGGUUGUAAACCUCUUUUGUCGGGGAGCAAAAGCCGGACGUGUCCGGCUGUGAGAGUACCCGAAGAAAAAGCAUCGGCUAACUCCGUGCCAGCAGCCGCGGUAAUACGGAGGAUGCGAGCGUUAUCCGGUUUUAUUGGGUUUAAAGGGUGCGCAGGCGGAUUUUUAAGUCAGCGGUAAAAUCGUGGGGCUCAACCCCAUCCAGCCGUUGAAACUGGGGAUCUAGAGUGUGCGAGAGGUAUGCGGAAUGCGUGGUGUAGCGGUGAAAUGCAUAGAUAUCACGCAGAACCCCGAUUGCGAAGGCAGCAUACCGGUGCACAACUGACGCUCAGGCACGAAAGCGUGUGUAUCGAACAGGAUUAGAUACCCCAGUAGUC
RNAcentral lists this ribosomal RNA (458 nucleotides) under uncultured bacterium. Its description in RNAcentral is "partial 16S ribosomal RNA". It matches the Rfam family "Bacterial small subunit ribosomal RNA", at positions 338 to 795 of the family's 1533-position model. The record is from RNAcentral.